GACGAACGCUGGCGGCGUGCUUAACACAUGCAAGUCGAACGGAAAGGCCCUGCUUUUGUGGGGUGCUCGAGUGGCGAACGGGUGAGUAACACGUGAGUAACCUGCCCUUGACUUUGGGAUAACUUCAGGAAACUGGGGCUAAUACCGGAUAGGAGCUCCUGCUGCAUGGUGGGGGUUGGAAAGUUUCGGCGGUUGGGGAUGGACUCGCGGCUUAUCAGCUUGUUGGUGGGGUAGUGGCUUACCAAGGCUUUGACGGGUAGCCGGCCUGGGAGGGUGACCGGCCACAUUGGGACGGGGAUACGGCACAGACUCCUGCGGGAGGCAGCAGUGGGGAAUAUUGCACAAUGGUCGGAAGCCUGAUGCAGCAACGCCGCGUGCGGGAUGACGGCCUUCGGGUUGUAAACCGCUUUCGCCUGUGACGAAGUGUGAGUGACGGUAAUGGGUAAAGAAGCUCCGGCUAACUACGUG
Molecule: ribosomal RNA, 468 nt
Filed under: uncultured bacterium
Lineage: Bacteria
Description: partial 16S ribosomal RNA
Rfam family: Bacterial small subunit ribosomal RNA
Source: RNAcentral